GAGGGUCUAGCUCAGUGGUAGAGUGCAUGCCUACCAUGCAUGAGGUCUAGGUUCAAUCCCCAGGAUCUCCA
Molecule: transfer RNA, 71 nt
Filed under: Camelus ferus (Wild Bactrian camel)
Lineage: Eukaryota; Metazoa; Chordata; Mammalia; Artiodactyla; Camelidae
Rfam family: tRNA
About the family: Transfer RNA (tRNA) molecules are approximately 80 nucleotides in length.
Source: Rfam by way of RNAcentral